AAUGAUUUCGUCUUCAUCUUCCACUUCUAGCGGUGUAGAUUCCAGAAGCAACGACAUCCUAGCUGGUUUCUUGCAUGAGUGUCCGCGAUGGUAACGCUCGUCACAGUUGUAACAUAGUCCCGCUUCUCGACGAACCCUUUGUUUUUCAAUGGUGAGUCUCUUUACUUCCGAUGGAGGAACGCGUUUCUGCAUGACUAUAUUCUCAUCUGAUCGGAAGUUCCGUUGGUUGUUUUAACGGCUAUCAGCUAGCUUGGUUUCUUGGAUUUCCGCCAUCUCCUUCGCGUCCAACAAACUCGUUGGUUUGAAUGGAAUCACUUCGUUCCUUAUAUCUUCUCUCAGACCUGCCAGAAAUGUUUCCACCUUAAACUGAAUGUUGAAACCAUGCAUUCGAUUGGAUUGUUCCUCGAACUUUUCUAUAUAUUUCUUAACUGCCGAUGUUUGUUGCACCCUUGCAAACCUUCUUAGGUGACCGACGUGUUUUUCUUCAGAGUCGAACCUGCCUAAGAUCAAGGUACAUAGGUCCCCCAUGCAUGGAUAGGCCUCUCCGCAUGUUGGUGUCAAAACUUUAAUAUUAUCGAUCAUAUUAUAACGAUUAACGAUUGAAAACUGACAUAAUCAGUUGAUUACCGUUAUUAAAAUACGAAAAAAUAACUCAUCAAAGAUAGACAAACUAUUGUUAGAUGACAAAUUGUGAGCCAUCAAGUAAAUUAAAUUGUAACCUUAGAUAAUGGAUUUUUGUGUUAUUUUUUCAAUUAAAUGAUAAUGAAUACAAAUGAUUGAUUAUAAAUUAUAAUCUAUUAUAAUUUUAUCUUUUUUUUGAUAAAUUAUUAAAUUUAUAUCGUAACAACCUUCUAUUCGGAUGGUUGGCCUUUUAUUUAUAAGAUUUCCAUAAAGGCAUUCUGAUUUAUCUUGGUUGACUUUAUUCGGAUGAUCUGAUCGGACUUUGCAGAACUGAUCGAAAUUUAUUCGGAUGAACGACCAGGAUUUAAAUUGGUUCUUAAAGAACCUAUUCUUACAUAGUAUUAUGCAAUGCUAUUGAUUAUUAUUUAAUUCUACUAUAAGAAUGAAGUUGUUUAAACUUGUUUAUACUUCACACUGUCAUUCAAAAUGCAAAAGCAUAUUCCUCUUCCACCACGGCAAUCGGCUCCUCCUCCGGGCAGUCCUCGCACAUCUCCACCAAGCAUCCUUGUUUCGCAUCCAUCCGAAAUAAUUUUCCCUUGCAACGGUGGCCCAGAGAAAAUGCUUCGUAAUAAUUGAAGCAUAAUCCCUUGGUUGUCUGAAUGCGUCGCUCCUCGACCGUCAAGGUUUUCCGCAUGAUUGGUAGUGCCCGUGUUGUGUCCGGUGGGGUUUUAAUCAAUGGACCAGUAUUAACUGUUAAAUUCUAUGCGCGGAGGAUUCGUCGUUGCCAUCGCCGGGUUAUCCCCAAACAUGGGAUGAUCAAAGUGGUGCGGAGUACCCAUUAACGCCGCUAGGGUUUGUCGCCCAACUGACGUUGGAGGUUACCGGUAUUAACUACCGUUAAGGAAGAAAGAAGAAGAAGUUUGAAUCAAUUUCGUUAAUCACUAGAAAAAAAUGAUUAACUUGUAUAGUUUGAAUUAAUUGUAAUUGUUUUACACUUGUUUAUUUAUUACAAAAAGUUUAACAACUUAAUUAUAUUAAUUCAAACUAACUAUAAAUCUUCUCUCCACACGUGAUUGGUCCAUCUAGGAUUUAUUGAAAAUAUUGCACUUUAGACCUUUAGUUUUCUUUAACUCGUUUUAUGAGUCACAGCCCAAAUUGCCUGCAUAGUAAAACUUAUAACAAAAUUAGUUAUUUGAAUAAAAACAAUCGUUUAUUACGUUUCGGUCCUGAUAACGAUUUAUUGAAAACAUUAUGAAUAACACCCUGGUAGUUUAUAACUAUCAGUUUAUUCAGUUAUAUCACGACCUUAUGAUUGUUUUUAUUACAGUCAGGUCCUUAGUCUUAUUCAAUGGUAAAUUGUUAUUUUACCCUGAACUUUCAGCAUAUUCUUAUACUCCCCCCUCAAGCCUUGGAAUACAUAUUAUGGAUUCCUAGCUUGACUGAGAAUGCUGUAAUUUCAUUUUCUCCUAGAGAUUUGGUAAAGAUAUCCGCAAGUUGGUAUUUUGUACCUACUUGUUUUAGUAAAAUUAUACCUUUAUCUAUCAUUUCUCUUAUAGAGUGGCAUGAUAUCUCUAUAUGCUUACUCCUCUCAUGAAAUACUGGAUUAUUUGCAAGAUAAAUUGCAGAUUUGUUAUCACAAUAUAGAGAAGUUGGCAUUGAUAUUUUUAUUUUUAAAUCUCUAAAAAGUUGAUGUAGCCACAGUAUUUCACACUGUGCUUUACUGAUGGCCCUAUAUUCAGCUUCACAAGNNNNNNNNNNNNNNNNNNNNNNNNNNNNNNNNNNNNNNNNNNNNNNNNNNNNNNNNNNNNNNNNNNNNNNNNNNNNNNNNNNNNNNNNNNNNNNNNNNNNGAAAGUGAAACUGUGUUUUGUUUCUUGGAUUUCCAAGAAAUUAGUGAUGUCCCUAAAAACAUACAAUAGCCUGAUAGUGAUUUCCUACUGAUUGAGCAAGAGCCCCAGUCUGAGUCACAAUAUCCAUGAAGAUCCAUCUGAUUUUGUUUCUUAUAUAAAAUGCCCUGUCCAGGGGCAUUUUUGAGAUAUCUUAUCACUUUGAAUAAGACUUGAAGAUGGAUCUCAUUAGGAUUUCCCAUAAACUGGCUUAGCCAAUGGACAGGGAAGCUAAGAUCAGGUCUGUUUAUAUUUAGGUAUAUGAGUUUGCCUACUAGUGACCUAUAGAGAGUUGGAUUUAUUAUAGCCUUUGCUUGCUCAUUUCUUAGAUUUAUGUGUCUCUCCAUAGGCACUUUUGAGGGUUUUGCAUCUAUAAGGCCACUCUCUUUUAGUAUGUUUAAUGCAUACUUUCUCUGGGAUAUGUAUAUACCUUCUGGUGGAUAUGUGACUUCAAUCCCUAAGAAAUAGGAUAGUUUUCCUAAAUCCUUUAUUUUAAAUUUUUUUUCAAUAUUCUUUUUUAUCAAGAACAUCUCUGUUUCAUUAUUUCCUGUUAUAAUGAUGUCAUCCACGUAUACUAACAGAUAUAUUGUAUUCCCAUUUAUGUUUUUGACAAAUAGUGAAUAAUCAGAGGGUGUUUGAACAAAAUUCAUUUCAAUUAAUACCCCCUUUAAUUUUGCAAACCAAUUUCUAGAUGCCUGCUUUAGGCCAUAUAGAGAUUUAUUUAGUUUGCAUACUCUUUUAUCUCCUUCACUAAGGAGUCCUUGUGGUGGUUUGAGGUACACUUCUUUAUGGAGAUCUUCAUGAAGAAAUGCAUUAUUCACAUCUAAUUGAUAUAUGUUCCGCCCUUUGAUUGCUGAAAUUGCAAUUAUAGUUUUGAUUGUGGUCAUUUUAACCACAGGUGCAAAGGUUUCAUAAUAAUCAAAACCUUCCUUUUGGGUGAACCCUUUUGCUACAAGUCUAGCCUUGUAUCUUUCUAUUUCACCAUUUGGUCUAUAUUUGAUUUUAUAGAUCCAUUUGGAUCCCACAAGUUUCCUAUCAUGAGGAAGUGUGGUUAAUAUCCAUGUCUUGUUUAUGUGAAGUGCCUCCAUUUCUUUUUUCAUUGCUUCUACCCAUUUAGGGUUUUUAGAAGCUUCUGAAAAAGAUUGAGGUUCUUCAUGUAUUGAUAUUUGUUGAAGUAAUCUUUUGUGAUUUUUGUUUAUUCUAUGGUAUGAAACCUAAUUGCACAAAGGGUAUUUCCCUUUAUGACUAUCAUUUCCAUAUUCCUUGUCAUCUUCAAGAAAAAACUCCUUGUAUGACUUUGGUAUAUGAAUGACUCUACCAGCUCUUGUAAUUUUUUCUAUUUUAUUAGUUUCCAUUAAUUUUUCUGGAAAUGUAUAGGGGACAACUUGAAGUUGUUUAUUUCUUUCUCCUGAAAUUUCAGAAGCAUUACUUUGUUGUUCUGUUGCAAUUUCUGCGUUUGAUGAUGUUAUUUCAUCAUUAUUCUGAAAAAUUUCAGAAUUAAGAUUAUUUUCAACAUUUUGAGGAAUCUCUAUUUAAUAUGCUUAAUCUUGACUCAGUAGUACAUUUUUCUUUGUUUUUUUCUAUAUUUGUAUUCUCUACUUGAUUUAUCAUUUUGUUUUGCAAUGCUAAUUGCUCUGGACACAUUUGGCCAGAUUCUGACCUUAUAUCUGAUAUAAUCAUCAGACCUUGGUUUAUUUCUUUGCUUAGACCAGUAUUUUGGUUUUUGUUUAAUACAUUUUGAUCUGAACUUAUUUUCAGAUUCUGUUUUUUAUCUUCUGGUCUAGCUUUUCUGUUGAAAACAUUAUUUUUAAUACUUUUAUCUAAUCCAGAUUGUUCUGAAUAUAUUUGAUCAUUUUCUGAUCUUAUAUCUGAAUUUAUUUUCAGAUUUUUAUUUUCUGAUCUCCCUUUCUUGUUUAGAUCAGAGUUUUUAAAAAUGUUUUUGUCUUGGUUAUGACUUUUAUAGUCAUACCAGGACUUGUUUGAAUCAUCAUGAUAUAGAAAUACAUUAUCAUACAAGUUUUCAAAAAAAAAAGGUUUCUUUGUGUUUUCUGAGCUUAUGUUGUCUUUGAAUGGGAAUAUAGAUUCCCUAAAAGAUACAUCUCUGGAAACUACUAAUUUUCUAUCUGAAACCUUUAGGAUUAAAUAUCCUUUAACACCCUUUGGAUAAUCCAUAAAAACUCCUUGAAAAGUUUUGGGUGAAAACUUGUUUUCUACUUGGGUUGUAGAAGCAUAGCAUAAGCAUCCAAAAGUUUUAAGGUUUUCAUAACUGGGUAUUUUCUUAUGAAUUAUUUCAUAAGGUGUUUUGUUUUCUAUUGCUUUGGAAGGGAUUCUAUUAAUUAGAUGAGCUGCUGUCAAAAUGCAUUCCCCCCAAUACUCAAGUGGGAUAUUUCCUUGAAGGUGUAGGGCUCUUGCAAUAUUUAAGAGGUGCUUAUGUUUUCUUUCUACCCUUGCAUUUUGUGCAGGUGUAUAAGGACAUGAAAAUUGUUGAAUAAUUAUCCCAUAUUUUUCAGAAAAAGCCUUAAAAUUGUUAGAGGUGAACUCUCCUCCAUUAUCACUUCUAAUAAUUUUAAUUUUAGUUUGGAAUUGUGUUUUAACCAUUUUGUAGAAAUUCUCAAUACAUUGUAAUGCCAUUGAUUUAUUUUUAAUUAAAUAUAUCCAUGUACCUCUACUUAGAUCUUCUACAAUAGUUAAAAAAUAACUAAAACCAUCAUGAGUCAUAAUUGGGAAUUUACCCCAUAUGUCUACAUGAAUGAGUUCAAAAAUGUUUUCAGAUUUAGAUGAACUGAUUGAGAAUUUAGGUUUAGCUUGUUUUGCUAAAGGACAUAUCUACAAUCAUAUUGUAUAUUAUUUAUUUCAUUUAAAACUGAAUUUUUACAAGAAAAUUUAUUAUUGUCUGAAAAAGACUUGCUAUUACAAUCUGAAGAGUAUUUAUUAUUACAAUCUGAAAAAGAAAUACAGUUUGACCUAUUGUCAUUACAUUUGAUAUUUUUACAUCUAAUAUUGUAUUUAGAGACUAAAGUCUUCAUUUUUUCAGAUGAUAUGUGUCCUAGUCUUUGAUGCUAAGUUUUGAAAUCAAUGACUAGGUUUGCUAGAAAGUAAUGAGGUGUGAAAAAGUAUAAUCCAUCUUGGGAUUCACCCUUGCCAAUCACUUUCCCGGAUUUGUUUUCCUGAAAUUGGAAACAAUGAUCAUCAAAUAUGACUUUAAUGUCAUUGUCUAAAGUUAACUUGCUAAUGGCUAUUAGGUUAACUUUGAAUUCAGGAAUGUAUAAAACAUUUUUAAGAACUAAGUUUUCUGAAAUUUUUAUGCAACCCACCCCUUUAACUACUAGUGUCUUCCCACUAGGUAUAGUUACAAAAUGAUUAGGUUCUUUAACAGGGGGGUUAAUAAACAAAUGUAUAUUUCCAGUCAUGUGCUGUGAUGCACCUGUAUCUACUAUCCAUUUGUCUAUAUAAUUAUUCAUGUUACUAGAAAUGUUAUCUAUAUUAAAAGAAAAAUGAAAAACUUUACCAGUGUUUGACUUAGUUGAGGAAAUGAGCUCCUUGAAUAGCUGGAUUUCUUCCUGAGUCAAUGUUAGUUGCUGGUUGUUGGAAGUAGUUACUUGAUUUGCAGCUUCUAUGUUAUUUGCAUUGCUGCCCUGGGUUUUUUUUCCUUGGGGUUUUUUCUGAAAUUUAUCUUUUGGUUUUCCAACCAAGUGAAAGCAUUUCUCCCUUGUGUGACCGUAGUAUUUACAAUUGUCACAAUAAAACCUAGUAUCAAGCUUCUUUCCACUUUUGGAAAACAUAACUUUUGUUCCCUCUACUGAAUUUUUAUCCUUUGCAAAGAAAACAGACUCAUUUUUCUCAUUAUUAACAUUCCUGAAUUUAACCCUCUGUUUUUCUUCUUGUAAUACCAAUCCAAGAACCUUAUUCAUAUUUGGCAGGUUUUCUAAUGAUAGAAUUUGGGUUCUUAGAUUAUAGAAAUUUUCAUUCAGUCCUAAAAGGAACUGAUGAAUCAUGUCAAUUUCUUUUUUUUGUUGGUAAAUCUUUUUGCAUCCUAGACAAAAUUUUUCUUUAAUUUCAUCUAUUUGUACCAACUGAUCCCAAAUAGACCUAAACUUAUCAUAGAAAUCAGAUGCAUUCAUUGACCCUUGUUGUAAGCAACAUAAUUCGUAUUUGAUUUACUUUAGGAGCAUUCCCUUGUUUAUACCUACUUUCUAGGUCUAACCAAACUUGAUAUGCAUUGUCAGUGGCGUAUCCAGGAUUCCCCGGCAGGGGGGCAAGAUUCGUCGAAGGCGAAAAUUUUUUUUUGUACUAAUUAAAAAACCUAUACAAAUUUUGGCAUGACCUAUUCAUAUAAUUGAUUAUAAAAACCUAUAAAAAAUCAAUACAUUCAUUAUAUAAUUAAUAUUCAAUACAUUAAUUAAUAUUCAAUACAUUAAUUAAUAUUCAAAUUAAAAAUAAAUACAUUCAUUUAAUUAACAAUAAAAAUUUCAAAUACAUUUUACAUUACUUCAAUGUCCUACGACGAAGACACAUAUCAUUAAAUAUUUUUAAAAUAAUUUCGUUGUCUAUAGUUUUAAAAAUAUCUUUCUCGAUAUAUGUUACUAAACAAUCAUUUAUCAAACUAUCACCAAGGCGAUUUCUGAGACGAGUUUUAAUGUGGGAAUCACAUUAAAGAAAUAAAUAAAAUGGUUCCUCUUUAAUUAAUUAAAGAAAAAAAUAAAAUUCACAUGGAUAUUUAAUCAAUUUAGGUCCCUGUUUUAAAAAAUUACAUGGAAUGAUGAAAAUUCAUAUUUUUUCAGGUUGAUGAUAGUUCAAUUCAAUUUUUUGCAAAUGGUUCAUUAUCCUGUUUUAAAAUGGUACAUUUUUUUCCGGAUCAAGCUAGGUUAAACACAAACGGAUCAAGAAUUCAAGAUAGACGGACAUAUCUAGAGCCUAAAGGCUAGAGAGUAGCGGAGACUGGACUCUGGAGAGUGGAGACGAACUGAAGGCAGUGAAAUCCGAUGGUGGUGGUGUCCUGUGGGCUGUGGCACAAUAACUGAAUCUCGAUGGACGGUGGUCAGAACGUGAGAGCUUGACCGGUUGACCCUGAGAUGAUCGUGAGGUGGAUGGGAGGAGGAGAGAUUGGGGGAAGUCGUGAGUUUUGGGGAAGGAGAUUGAGGGAAACAAGAUUGAAGGAAAUUAGAUGGGGGGAAACGAGAUUGGAGGAUGGGGCGGAAAAUGAGAUUGGGGAAAUAAUAUUGGCGAAAGAAUAUUGGGGAGAUUUUGGGAGAAAUCGUGGGUUUUGGGGAUAUUGGGGAAAUUUGGAGGAUAUUGGGGAAAUAUCGUGGGUUUUGGGUUUGGGGGAGAGGUUUAGGGAUUUAGAAAUUUGGGGGAGAGGUUUAAGGAUUUAGAAAAUUUGGGGAGAGGUUUAGGGAUUAAGAAGAUUUGGGGGAGAAAUUUAUGGAUAUUUAAGUUUUUAGGGAUUUAUAUGUAAUUAAACUUAAAAUUACAUAUAUUGUAAAAUUUAUAUAGUAUAUAAAUAUUGUGAAAUUUAUAUAUUAACCCUUAAAAAAUAUUAAUAUAUUGUGAAAAUUACACUUAACCCCCUAUAAAAAAUUUAAUUACAUAUAGGUCCUUGGAUAUUUUCCAAAUUUUAGGGGGGGCAAUUGCCCUCCCUUGCCCCCCUGGAUACGCCUCUGUGCAUUGUUAGAGUACAUAAUUGUAGACUGAAUUUGAGGGGAAACUGAAUUCAGAAUCCAUGCUAACACUAGUCCAUUAACUAUUUUCCAUAUAUUAUAUUCUCUGCUAGCAUAAUCAGUUGGCAUCAUGAUCUGUCCAGAGAUGAAGGCAUCUUUUCUUCUAGAAAUUAAAGAAACCUUCAUCCCAUUGGACCAAGUAAUGUAGUUGGAUUCUCCAACUAGUCUAUCGGGAACUAAAAUUGCCCCCGGAUGAUCACCGGAGGUUAAGAAAAAAGGAGACUCAGGGUCUUGUAAAGGUGAUAUAUACCUCUCGGAUCUUUGUUUCUUGAGAAAAGAUCCAUUAUACAAACCUUCCACUUGUUCAUUUGCACGAGAUUUCCCAGUAGACCCAGAUGAGGAUUGGUGUGAUGUUGUUGGUGUCUUUAAUGGGUUUUGCUGUUGUUGAAGGAGCGACUGUUGAACGAACUCGGCUUGACUAUUUGCCGGAGGAAAAAUUGCGGAAGUGGCCGGACGGUUGACCGGAGGGACGCCAGAAGCGUUGUCGGCAGAUACCAUGUUAAAUUCUAUGCGCGGAGGAUUCGCCGUUGCCAUCGUCGGAUUAUCCCCAAACAUGGGAUGAUCAAAGUGGUGCGGAGUACCCAUUAACGCCGCUAGGGUUUGUCGCCCAACUGACGUUGGAGGUUACCGGUAUUAACUACCGUUAAGGAAGAAAGAAGAAGAAGUUUGAAUCAAUUUCGUUAAUCACUAGAAAAAAAUGAUUAACUUGUUUAGUUUGAAUUAAUUGUAAUUGUUUUACACUUGUUUAUUUAUUACAAAAAGUUUAACAACUUAAUUACAUUAAUUCAAACUAACUAUAAAUCUUCUCUCCACACGUGAUUGGUCCAUCUAGGAUUUAUUGAAAAUAUUGCACUUUAGACCUUUAGUUUUCUUUAACUCGUUUUAUGAGUCACAGCCCAAAUUGCCUGCAUAGUAAAACUUAUAACAAAAUUAGUUAUUUGAAUAAAAACAAUCGUUUAUUACGUUUCGGUCCUGAUAACGAUUUAUUGAAAACUUUAUGAAUAACACCCUGGUAGUUUAUAACUAUCAGUUUAUUCAGUUAUAUCACGACCUUAUGAUUGUUUUUAUUACAGUCAGGUCCUUAGUCUUAUUCAAUGGUAAAUUGUUAUUUUACCCUGAACUUUCAGCAUAUUCUUAUAUUAGCCGCCUCUGUGCUCGGCCGAUACGGUGUCCGCCACGAGGAUUGUCACCGACCCAGGUGCGCUUCAUACACCUUUGCUGCCGAAAAUGCUUAUCGCAAUGUGGUUGGCUUCAAUAUCUUCAGCUCACUUUUUAACUUUGGUUUCAAUCCUCCAACGAAGUAAGUGAUCAGUGUUUGCUCGAACUGCUCAUCCACAUGUUCUUCAAAUUUAUCUAGGUACUCCUCCAGCGACGACGACUGUUGUAGGCGUGAUAAUUGUUCGAGUUUAUUCUCAUACUCGACUUUCCCAAACUGCUCUCUCAUAUCCUCCAUGAAUCGUUUCCAGGUAAUUAAUUUAUUAUGACAGAGUCCUCUGAUUCAGGUGAGCGCCUUGCCGGUCAUGUGGAACCCGGCGAUCUGCACUUUCCCCUCCUCGCCUAUACCGUAGUAGGCGAAAUACUCCUCGGCUUGAUACAGCCAUCCUUCCGGAUCAUCGCCGGAGAAUCGUGGGAAAUCCAACUUUAUCGCUCUCUAUUUGACGUGCGAUGAUUCACCUCUAAACGGAUCGAAGAAAGUCCCACUUCGAUCACCUUCCUUCGUCAUCUUUAAUACACUUUCAGCAACCGCUGUAAUUGCCGCGUUUUGUUAUUGUGUCACCUCCAUUUGGCGAGUUGUUUGUUCCAUUAUGAUUGCUCCCAAAGCUAGGCGAAUAUUCUCCAAGGUCUCCUCCUUAUUUUCUGUUUCACUGUUCAUGAUCACCAAAUUACAGAAAAAAAUAUUUCAAAGAAGGAAAUAACGAAUUCAAUUAAGAAUUGAACACGUUCCUGAUCAGGAUCUACUUUAGGCGUAGAACAAGCCCUGGAAUGAUUUUGAAUGUUUUGAGUCAUUACCGACCGUUGAUCCAUAAGCGUCCGUGCGAGAACUCAAAGAUAGAUUGUUGUUUUCAAUGUUGGAUGAGUGAUCAUCCUAUUCUGUGUUAUUUAUAGCCUAAGGCUAAUGUCUAAAUAGAAACUAUAACAAACUAAAGCUGAAAAUUAACAAACUAACAACUUGGUCACUACCCUAAUUCCAACUAAUAAAUAUAUAAAGUCUAGAAUCUUCUCCUUUCUUAGCCUUGUCUCCCGUCCUUGUGGUUGCUCCACGUUGGCUUCAUGGUCCCCACCUCAUAAGUCGGUGCACCACCUCGUCAAGAUUUAGCCCAAUUGUUACAUAGAAACAGAAGAUGUAAAACGAAAUAGCAACGGUUAGAACUGCAUAAGUAAAAGUGGAAGAAGAAAAGGUAGUAUUUUUUACAAUUAUAAAAGAUUUCAUCUAUCACUUUAUUUAUACAAUAACACUAUUGGGCUUUUAUGGACUUAUUUAGCCAGGUUGAGUCUGAUGGUCUCGGUCUGUUGGGUCGGGAAGAAGUAUAAGCAGAACUGCAAGAAGAAGAUGUACAAAGAAAUAGCAGGUGCAACUGUGCAAGAAAUAAAAAUGGAUAUAUACGGCUGCAUCAUGACUCGGUGCGAACAUCCGAUAUCACCGUCCAUGUCCCACCUCAUCUGAUUUCGUCGUCCGUCUCGAGUGGAGGUAAAUCGCGAGGUUCGUUGUCUACGGAAUCGUGGUUCCGUCAUCGCGACCGGCACAACCCGUGAGGAAUCGUGGUUCCAAUAUCACGAUCGGCACGGAAUUACGAUUGUGCGGACCGCAGAAUCACGGUUCCGGAAAGGACAUCUCGCACGUGAUGUCUUUCUCAUUGAAAUUUUGGGAUUGAUAUGUGAAAUGACAUCACGUGAUGUCAUGAUGUCCGGUCGUAAUGUCGUUGGGCAGGAAACUAAUUGUAUAUAAAUAAAUGGAAAAGUAGAUAAAUAUUUCUAAAAACUUUAUGGCUAAGUAUUUUGAGUUAAAAUAAUAAAGGUGGUUUUAAAUUUACAAAAUCGUGUUGUAAAACUUGGAAUAAUUACUGAUUAACUAAUUACUAAUUAUAUUUAACAGCGACACUCUGUUUUGAAUCAUCCCCUUGAACACAUUCUCAAGUCUAAUCUCAAGAUGAUCCAUUUGCUCUUCCACCGCUUUCAAUCUCCUCUGAGUUUCCCUCAUCGCCACACCAUCGACGUCACCACCACCUUUGCCAGAAAAAAGCAUCCGUAGAGCAUGGAUAGAAUCAUCGACUUGGCUUAACACAUUCCCCCUGUUCACUCUAUUCUUCAGGAGGAAUCUCGUCGGCACUUUCCACGGGCACCAAUUUCCGCAGCUUGACAAGAAGUAAGUCAGGAGAUAGGAUAAAACAGAGGCCGAUAUGAUUAUCACGUCACCCAUCACUUUCAACAACACCAGAGUCUCUAGGUCUUUUUCCGCCUCGCUGUAGCGGGAGCAAUUUUCACUCACUUGGUUUGAUUGAUUCAGACACUGGUGCACGAUCUUCUUCUUCGACCCCCGUGAGAUGACAAAAGCGUCGAUGCUGCAGGUGGUUGCUCUGUUCGCCCCUUUUCGCCGGAAAACGGAGUGGAGUCCCUGUGAACGUUCCUUUGUCAUCAUGAGCAAUUCUCUUAUCACGUUACAAGCCUCUAGAAGUCCGACGUACCCAUCAAGAACAACAUCGAUGCAGUUCUUCCCACGGAUGCCUAUAAUCAUACGUUGCGUCGUCGGAACCUGGAGUAGGUUCUCUACUAACGAGGACACACGGGAAAGCUCGGCAAGACCAUUGGAAAGUGAGUUAUCGGAGGGAGUGGAAGCCGCGGAGGCUUGUAGCCAUGACUUUAGUUUCUGCAGACUAACGUCGACAGUUUCAGCGAGAUGAUUGAAUCGCAUUGGCAGACUGAUGGAAGGAAGUGGAAUAAAACACGUCGGAGAUGACGAAAAGACUUUCAUUGAAAUUGAAUAUAAUUUGAAUACGAUUGCAGUCGAAGGUAUUUAUAAGGUUUUAAAUUAAAACCGAUUGCAGUCGAAGGCAUUCCACUGAAAUGCUGAAACUAACUAACCUGUAAGGUAGUAAUGCAAUAAAUGUUUGUAUCGGAAAUGCAGUGGCGCAAAUUUUUUGGUAAACACCGCCUUAAAACUAUAAUAAUUUAACAUUCUUAGGCACUUCAUAUGUAUUUUUAUAAUACAAUUUACAUUUUAGAUAGGUAUGCAUUAAUAUAAUAACGUUAAAAAAAUUAAUAUAAUAACGUUAAAAAAAUAUAUUUUUAGGCAGUCUACACCUAGUAUAACAUCCGUUCAAUGAAAUAGACCUACAAGCAAAUCCAUCGUAAUUGUCAUUGAUCCCAACAGUAGUUUGAUGUCUCUGCAAACACCUUGGCUAGACAUCGUAUUGUCAUUACCCACCACAACAUUGUAGCGUUGUCGCGUAUCGAUAGGUAAUUCAAGUUGCCUCACCCACCUUCCAUGAACGAAGUUCAAGCUCGUGUCGGAAUCGAUCAAUAUACGUAGCUGAUAGUUUUUAAUAAAGCCUUGUACCUGAAUCGAUGUCGAAUCUCUGGCCAUCGCAUGCAACGAUGUCACCGGAACUUCUUCCUCGUACUCUUCUGCCUCCUUUAGUUGGUUGUGUUCGUCAAAAAUGAUUUCGUCUUCAUCUUCCACUUCUAGCGGUGUAGAUUCCAGAACCAACGACAUCCUAGCUAGUUUCUUGCAUGAGUGUCCGCGAUGGUAACGCUCGUCACAGUUGUAACAUAGUCCCGCUUCUCGACGAACCCUUUGUUUUUCAAUGGUGAGUCUCUUUACUUCUGGAACGCGUUUCUGCAUGACUAUAUUCUCAUCUGAUCGGAAGUUUCGUUGGUUGUUUUAACGGCUAUCAGCUAGCUUGGUUUCUUGGAUUUCCGCCAUCUCCUUCGCGUCCAACAAACUCGUUGGUUUGAAUGGAAUCACUUCGUUCCUUAUAUCUUCUCUCAGACCUGCCAGAAAUGUUUCCACCUUAAACUGAAUGUUGAAACCAUGCAUUCGAUUGGAUUGUUCCUCGAACUUUUCUAUAUAUUUCUUAACUGCCGAUGUUUGUUGCACCCUUGCAAACCUUCUUAGGUGACCGACAUGUUUUUCUUCAGAGUCGAACCUGCUUAAGAUCAAGGUACAUAGGUCCCCCAUGCAUGGAUAGGCCUCUCCGCAUGUUGGUGUCAAAGCCACUUCCCGACCUCACCUUCGAUAUUAAACCCUGCUGAGUAUACUUUUAGAUGUUCC
This 13491-nucleotide long non-coding RNA is filed under the name Zostera marina. RNAcentral's name for it is "long non-coding RNA (ZMAR_LNC005035)". Lineage: Eukaryota; Viridiplantae; Streptophyta; Magnoliopsida; Alismatales; Zosteraceae. The record is from RNAcentral.